GAUGAAGAACGCAGCGAAAUGCGAUACGUAAUGUGAAUUGCAGAAUUCAGUGAAUCAUCGAAUCUUUGAACGCAUAUUGCGCUCUCUGGUAUUCCGGAGUGCAUGCUUGUUUGAGUAUCAGUAAACACCUCAACUUCCAUAUCUUUUUUGAAAUGGGAGUUGGACUUGAGUGAUCCCAACGCUUUUCCUCACCGAAAAGUGGCGGGUUACGUGAAAUGCAGGUGCAGCUGGACUUUUCUCUGAGCUAUAAGCAUAUCUAUUUAGUCUGCCUAAAAAACAGAUCAUUACCUUUGCUGCAGCUAACAUAAAGGAGAUUAGUUCUUGUGCUGACUGAUGCAGGAUUCACAAAGACAGGCUUCGGCCGACUUUGUAAACUCGAUCUCAAAUCAAGUAAGACUACCCGCUGAACUUAAGCAUAUCAAUAAGCGGGGA
This 432-nucleotide unclassified non-coding RNA is filed under the name soil metagenome. Its description in RNAcentral is "partial contains 5.8S ribosomal RNA, internal transcribed spacer 2, and large subunit ribosomal RNA". The stretch from base 1 to 120 matches the Rfam family "5.8S ribosomal RNA", at positions 35 to 154 of the family's 154-position model. The record is from RNAcentral.